AAAAAAUAAUCGCUUAGGAUAGGCGUUCACACGAAUAACUUGCUUUUACCUAAAUCAUUUCUUUACAGAUUUGAGAUUAGGGAGCGUUCUUUAACAUUUUUAUAAGUUCAAUCAAGUCACAUCAUAGUGUCUUAGUUUUUUAAUUUAGAUAUGAAUGAUGUGCAAAUGUCACCAAACCCGUCAUGUUUUAGAACAUAAGUUUUGGUGUACAUACUGCAAAGUAAUUUUGGCGANUGACAAUUAGAUACUUUGGAAGAACAUUUAAUCAUUUAAGUUGGUUUGAAUGGUAAUUAUGGGUCAAGUUAAAUUAAACCGCAAUAACGGUUGGAAUGCCCUUUGGGCAAAAGGGCCGAAAUUCCCAGCCACAACUUGGGCGGGCCCGUUUAACUUAAGUUGGAAUUCCCAAAACCUCCGGUAACCAAAGCCUUUGGCCA
RNAcentral lists this unclassified non-coding RNA (434 nucleotides) under uncultured marine bacterium 311. Its description in RNAcentral is "partial 16S-23S ribosomal RNA intergenic spacer". The record is from RNAcentral.